RNAcentral lists this small nucleolar RNA (138 nucleotides) under Ornithorhynchus anatinus (platypus). Lineage: Eukaryota; Metazoa; Chordata; Mammalia; Monotremata; Ornithorhynchidae. The record is from RNAcentral.
UCCCUCUCAGGCUCGCAUCUGGAGAGCUUCCAGUAUUCUACCCGUCUCGGCUACGGGAGGCAGAGUCAAGCAGAGGCCUACCCAUUCCAUUCCUAGCUUGGACAGUGGCUAAUGAGUGGAAGGCAAUCUGCUCCGAGU